RNAcentral lists this ribosomal RNA (496 nucleotides) under uncultured bacterium. Its description in RNAcentral is "partial 16S ribosomal RNA". It matches the Rfam family "Bacterial small subunit ribosomal RNA", at positions 29 to 507 of the family's 1533-position model. The record is from RNAcentral.
ACGAACGCUGGCGGCGUGCCUAAUACAUGCAAGUUGAGCGCUGAAGGUUGGUACUUGUACCGACUGGAUGAGCAGCGAACGGGUGAGUAACGCGUGGGGAAUCUGCCUUUGAGCGGGGGACAACAUUUGGAAACGAAUGCUAAUACCGCAUAAAAACUUUAAACACAAGUUUUAAGUUUGAAAGAUGCAAUUGCAUCACUCAAAGAUGAUCCCUCGUUGUAUUAGCUAGUUGGUGAGGGAAAGGCUCACCAAGGCGAUGAUCCAUAGCCGGCCUGAGAGGGUGGUCGGCCACAUUGGGACUGAGACACGGCCCAAACUCCUACGGGAGGCAGCAGUAGGGAAUCUUCGGCAAUUGACGAAAGUCUGACCGAGCAACGCCGCGUGAGGGAAGAAGGUUUUCGGAUCGUAAAACUCUGUUGGUAGAGGAGAACGUUGGUGAGAGUGGAAAGCUCAUCAAGUGACGGUAACUACCCAGAAAGGGACGGCUAACUACGUG